Molecule: non-coding RNA, 220 nt
Organism: Cinara cedri
Lineage: Eukaryota; Metazoa; Arthropoda; Insecta; Hemiptera; Aphididae
Source: the annotation of a GenBank genome assembly
UACGACUAUUAAUUCUGGUAUAUGCGGAAAAAAAAUUAAUAAUUAUUGCGAUAAAUGCCUACGAGUUUCGAACGUUAUACGACAUUAAUAAUAAUAAUGUUAUUGAACUUCCGCGUGUCGGACAAUACUCGUUCUGCACAGCAAAUCGGAAAUACACCUCGAUCCGCUAUACGAACCCCCCGAAAUGUGGCUACGAGUAAACUUCUACAAUAAUGACCUU